Long non-coding RNA from Mirounga angustirostris (Northern elephant seal), 1598 nucleotides. RefSeq lists it as uncharacterized. The record is from RefSeq and is a predicted model, not a curated record. The transcript has 4 exons. NCBI's taxonomy places the organism in Eukaryota, Metazoa, Chordata, Mammalia, Carnivora, Phocidae.
GGCAGCAGGGGGGAGAGGCCAACCCUGCUGGAGCCUAAUUCCCGACUUCCAACUUCCAGGACCGUGAGGAGUCAGGGAUUAUGGCUCCAGGCCCCCCAGUCUAUGGUGUUUUGUUUUGGCAUCCUGAGCUCAGCAGGAGGGGGUGUGAGGGACAGGGGAGGAGCAUGGGGGGCAGACAGAGCCCCCCUGGACGGCACAUGGAAGGGAUGAGAUGACCAAGGAGACUUCUGAUUGCUUGGCUUUGCAUCCCAGCUUUCUUCCCGGUCAGCUGUGUGAACUUGGGCACGCCAUUCCCCUGCUCCACUCCCGUGCCUCAGUUUCCCUCUCUGCUAAUGGAUAUAAUAGCAUUAUCCAGGAUUGUUCUGAGCACCGAACAAGUUCCUUCUGGUCCGCACUUAGAAGAGGACUCUGUGGGUGCAGCCACUGCCUCUAAAUAGGGGUGUUUUCUAACUUUCAGGCAUUGGUUGGAGGCCCAAGGGAUGCUGAUAUGGUGCUGGGGGUGGGCGCUCCACUUCGGGUGGAGUGGUCAGGGGAGAUGACACUUGAGCUGAGACCUGAGUGACAUAAAGAGCCAGGCUUGGGAAGCAUGAAGCGAGAGUGCUUCCAGCAUAGCACGUGCAAAGGCCCUGAGGUGGGACCACACCUGGCACGUUUGAGGAGCCCCCAGGAGGACCAGAGAUGAACAAGACGUGAUUCCUGUCCCUAAGGAGAGGCUUCCGGGUGGAUGUGAGUCAUCAUCUGAAGUUGGAGAUGUUGGGAAAGAUCAGACUAGUGAAAGGCUUGCAAGUAAGGAUGACCUAGAAGUGUUCCCAGCACACAGCAAGUGCUGAGUAAAGGUGUGUUGGUUGAACGACUGAAGGAGUCCCCUAACUAAUGAAGGGACCAGUGAGAUGUCACACCCGGUGCAAAGAGCUCAAAGGACCGCACGUUCCUAGGCAACGAGGUGCUGGAGUAAGUGUGAUGAUCCGAGACCAUCUUCAAUGUUGCAUCUUUCACUGGAACGUUUAUACUUCCCCAGCGCUUAGCCAGUCGCUUGGCUAGAGGUCACAAGUCCCUGGAGACCGCCCUCACCUCAGACCCCGGCAGCGAGCUGGGGGUUGGGGGGCGCGACCCCCCAGAACCUCGGGGGCCUCGGAAGAGUGCUGGAUUUACACCCCUAGUGUAAAUACCCCACCCUAGGCAGCUUCAAAUGACAGGGAUCUAUUUUCUCCCCGUUCUGGAGGGCAGAGGUCCAAGGUCAAGGUGGGCUGGUUCCCUCUGGAAGUUCCGAGCGAGAAUCCAUUUCUGGCCCCUCUGGCAGCACGGUGCUCCUUGGCCCACAGACGCCUGGCUCCCAUCUCUGCCUCCAUCUAGACCCGGACUUCUCCCUGGAUGUCUCUGUGUCUUCACAAGGACACCAGGAGUUGGACUCAGGGCCCACCCGCAUCCCCGCGACCUCCUCUUAAUUUAACCAAUUACAGGGGCGCCUGGGUGGCUCAGUCCUUAAGCGUCUGCCUUCAGCUCAGGUCAUGAUCCCAGGGUCCUGGGAUCGAGCCCCGCAUCGGGCUCCCUGCUCAGCGGGAAGCCUGCUUCUCCCUCUGCCUCUGCCUCUCUCUCUC